GAUGAACGCUGGCGGCGUGCCUAAUACAUGCAAGUCGAGCGAACGGACGAGAAGUUUGUUUCUUUGAUGUUAGCGGCGGACGGGUGGGUAACAUGUGGAAAACCUACCUAUAAGACUGGGAUAAUCUCGGGAAACCGGAGCUAAUACCGGAUGAUAUUUUGAACCGCAUGGUUCAAAAGUGAAAGACGGUCUUGCUGUCACUUAUAGAUGGAUCCGCGCUGCAUUAGCUGGUUGGUAAGGUAACGGCUUACCAAGGCAACGAUGCAUAGCCGACCUGAGAGGGUGAUCGGCCACACUGGAACUGGAACACGGUCCAGACUCCUACGGGAGGCAGCAGUAGGGAAUCUUCCGCAAUGGGCGAAAGCCUGACGGAGCAGCGCCGCGUGAGUGAUGAAGGUCUUCGGAUCGUAAAACUCUGUUAUUAGGGAAGAACAUAUGUGUAAGUAACUGUGCACAUCUUGACGGUACCUAAUCAGAAAGCCACGGCUAACUACGUG
RNAcentral lists this ribosomal RNA (497 nucleotides) under uncultured bacterium. Its description in RNAcentral is "partial 16S ribosomal RNA". It matches the Rfam family "Bacterial small subunit ribosomal RNA", at positions 28 to 507 of the family's 1533-position model. The record is from RNAcentral.